GAGGAAGAGAAAAAAUGCUGGGGCAGUGGAAAGUUGAAGAGGAUCAUGGGGACGGAAAAGGACACUGCAGCGGGUAUGAGCUGGGAGGCCCACACAGCAUCAGGCCAAGGCAGUGGGGCUGAGGACCAAAAGGAGAAGACGGGGUGGAGAAAGAUGACCGCCAGUAAGAGGCAAUCACAGAAGUCUGCACUUGUCCUGGGUGGCACUUCUAAGUGUGAUAUCACACCAAGGGAGGAAUGGUGAAGCCUGCUGAGGAAGCCGACCAGCCUUAGUAAGAUGGCGGCUCCCAAGGCAGCACGUCAGCCUAAGGUGAGCAAAAGGUUGGCCCAUCUCCGAUUUGUGCUUUCUGGGAUCUGGCAGGACCUUGGGAGCUAAAAGCUCAGAUCUCCAUCUUGCUAUUCUCAGAAAGGCCAAAAGGCAGAAAAGGACACAGCCUCUGGGAGCCUCCUCUGACUUGUCUACCUCCUCCCUGCCUGGAAGUCCUCCCCCUUAAGUCCUUCCUCUUCCUGCAGCAGGCCUUCCUGCUGUGCUCUCCGCCUGUGAGAAACGCAAACCAACGCUCGAGAGGCCUCGGCGCUGAAGAGCCAACACUGUCCACACUAUGAAAUCUCUUCUUUCCCCGACUCUGCUUCUCUCCAGAGAGGGUUGGGGUGUGUUCUGGCUCAGGUCACAGGGCAAACUUUCUCUGGAAGAGCCUAGAAAAGAAGAAGUGAGUUAUGGGGCUUCAGAGUUAAGUUACACAGAAAACUCCCCUGAGAAAACAGCUGGGAGUUUUCAAAGGGGAGUCCAGUGCCUCUGCUGUGUCUUGUCUAAGAGAAGGAGGCCUCUACCUGUCAGCAAGAGUUGGCUGAAAGCGGAGGGAUGAGGGACUUUCAAGGACGAGGAGGUCUUCGCAGAAUGGGGGAGCCGUCCCUCCACAGACCCGCUGUGGUCUGUGUCAGAUGCACCUGACUUCCAGGCCAGGCCCUGUGGAUCCCCCAGCUCCAGUUAUCUCUCUGCUGUCCCUCCCUUUUUCCUGCCACAUCUCUCCACCCCAGGCAGCCACAUGCACA
This 1052-nucleotide long non-coding RNA is filed under the name Equus caballus (horse). RNAcentral describes it as "lncRNA (ENSECAG00000052405.1)". The record is from RNAcentral. Lineage: Eukaryota; Metazoa; Chordata; Mammalia; Perissodactyla; Equidae.